UACAGAGGGUGCAAGCGUUGUUCGGAAUUACUGGGCGUAAAGGGCGCGUAGGCGGCCUGUUAAGUCGGACGUGAAAUCCCCGGGCUCAACCCGGGAACUGCGUCCGAUACUGGCAGGCUUGAAUUCGGGAGAGGGAUGUGGAAUUCCAGGUGUAGCGGUGAAAUGCGUAGAUAUCUGGAGGAACACCGGUGGCGAAGGCGGCAUCCUGGACCGAUACUGACGCUGAUGCGCGAAAGCCAGGGGAGCAAACGGG
This 253-nucleotide ribosomal RNA is filed under the name uncultured bacterium. RNAcentral describes it as "partial 16S ribosomal RNA". It matches the Rfam family "Bacterial small subunit ribosomal RNA", at positions 524 to 776 of the family's 1533-position model. The record is from RNAcentral.